GAGUCAAUAUUAGAUUAUAUUAACAGCUCACAUAUUCCUAUUUUCUAAUAUUAUAUUAUAUUUAAUUCUUUCUCCUAAUAUUUUGAAGGUCAAUAUAUUAAUCCUCUUUUGAUAUUUCUGGAAGUUUCCUUUUAAAUUUUUAUCUCUUCCUCUUCUUCUCUCUCUCAGUUUCUCUGCAAUUACUGUGUAUAGUUGGAAAAUGAUGAAGACAACAAAUAACAACGUCCAUUAGAUCAAUGACAAGAGAAGGCUUGCGAUGGCAGCAACCACCACCAGCACCACCGAAUUCAUCACGGCGGUCAAUAUUGUCGACAUGCAAACCUCCACCAGGCAUGUUCUAAUUCUGUUUUGGUGGAUUUGUAUUACAAAAUUCUCUCAUACCUUUAAAGGUUAAUUCUUUGAAUUGUAAAAUAUAUUUACAGUAACUGAUGUUCUUGUUUUAUUUCAA
Molecule: long non-coding RNA, 448 nt
Organism: Cannabis sativa
Lineage: Eukaryota; Viridiplantae; Streptophyta; Magnoliopsida; Rosales; Cannabaceae
Exons: 2
Source: RefSeq, a predicted model, not a curated record